GAUGAAGAACGUAGCGAAAUGCGAUAAGUAAUGUGAAUUGCAGAAUUCAGUGAAUCAUCGAGUCUUUGAACGCACAUUGCGCCCCCUGGUAUUCCGGGGGGCAUGCCUGUCCGAGCGUCAUUGCUGCCCUCAAGCACGGCUUGUGUGUUGGGCCCCCGCCCCCCGGCUUCGGGGGGCGGGCCCGAAAGGCAGCGGCGGCACCGCGUCCGGUCCUCGAGCGUAUGGGGCUUCGUCACCCGCUCUGUAGGCCCGGCCGGCGCCCGCCGGCGACCCCAAUCAAUCUUUCCAGGUUGACCUCGGAUCAGGUAGGGAUACCCGCUGAACUUAAGCAUAUCAAUAAGCGGAGG
RNAcentral lists this unclassified non-coding RNA (347 nucleotides) under soil metagenome. Its description in RNAcentral is "partial contains 5.8S ribosomal RNA, internal transcribed spacer 2, and large subunit ribosomal RNA". The stretch from base 1 to 120 matches the Rfam family "5.8S ribosomal RNA", at positions 35 to 154 of the family's 154-position model. The record is from RNAcentral.